Molecule: ribosomal RNA, 465 nt
Filed under: Vreelandella stevensii
Lineage: Bacteria; Pseudomonadati; Pseudomonadota; Gammaproteobacteria; Oceanospirillales; Halomonadaceae
Description: partial 16S ribosomal RNA
Rfam family: Bacterial small subunit ribosomal RNA
Source: RNAcentral
CCUACGGGGGGCUGCAGUGGGGAAUAUUGGACAAUGGGGGGAACCCUGAUCCAGCCAUGCCGCGUGUGUGAAGAAGGCCCUCGGGUUGUAAAGCACUUUCAGUGAGGAAGAACGCCUGGUGGUUAAUACCCAUCAGGAAAGACAUCACUCACAGAAGAAGCACCGGCUAACUCCGUGCCAGCAGCCGCGGUAAUACGGAGGGUGCGAGCGUUAAUCGGAAUUACUGGGCGUAAAGCGCGCGUAGGUGGCUUGAUAAUCCGGUUGUGAAAGCCCCGGGCUCAACCUGGGAACGGCAUCCGGAACUGUCAAGCUAGAGUGCAGGAGAGGAAGGUAGAAUUCCCGGUGUAGCGGUGAAAUGCGUAGAGAUCGGGAGGAAUACCAGUGGCGAAGGCGGCCUUCUGGACUGACACUGACACUGAGGUGCGAAAGCGUGGGUAGCAAACAGGAUUAGAUACCCCGGUAGUC